CUAUUGAUACUUGGGGGACGCCCCGCCCAUUUGUCCUUGGACACUAAUGGUUUCCUCCUCUCCUCUCCAGGACUACUCCUUCUCCUGCAGAGUGGAUCCUUCGCGCCUUCCUCCUCUUAACCUUCCUCCAGUUCCAGACCUCCGGCACACCCCCCUCCCCCCUCUCUGGAGGGUCCCCUCCCCGCUGCCCUGGCUCCAACCCAUCGCCAGGACAAUGGCCCCGAGGCUAACCUCGAGGCUGCAACCCAGGAGAUGGGGCGGGUCCGUGUUGAGGAUCCAGAGAUUCAGCUGGACGCCCCUGGACCCAAAUGCUCCCAGACCCAGACUUCACUACUAUAGCGUCCUCCAGAGCAGCAGGGUCUCCAGGAGCAGGGCCCCCCCCGACCAGCCUCCGUCCUGGGUGUACGAUAGGACACGACCCCCUGAAGAACAAGGAGGAGCCCAGGUGAAACCAGACACAUGAUGUAACUUUCAGAGAGCACUCCAGGGUAUGUUGUGAUAGUCCAGUGUUGUACAGCCAGGCAGCAGAGAGCAGAAACACCUGCCAGAGCCCCCCAGAGAAGAGACCACAGGUCUAGACAUGGGUCUGAAGAGGACCUACAAUACCUGGCUCCCAGGAGUGCCCAGAAGAGGCUUUCCUCCUGUCAUCCCAGAAGACAGAGAGGAAGAAGGCGAUGAGGCAGCGGAGCAGCAGGAGGAAGAGAGGGAGGAGCAAGAGAGCGGCCUUGUAGGUCAGGCUGGAGGAGAGACAUGUCUGAAGGUAGCCAUGCUUGAUUCAUGCUGGAAGUCUUCUCCUCUGGCUCAGAUCCGUUACUAUGGACGACACUGGCCUGGAGAUCAAGGGGGAGGACCAGGGUCCACAGGUGCUGGUCUUCACACUGGCCUUCUGAAAGUCCCGAUGCCCCGGCAUGCCCGGUCAAACCCGAGCCCCAAGGCUGCCCAGAACCAGCGGGAGAACCAGAACCAGGGAGUGGGUCUGCUCCCACUGGACCAGACCCGGCUUGGGAUCAGAGGACGUCAGGGUCCAGAAGAACCUCUGGUUGAACCACUGAUGUUCGCUAUUUCAGAACCAUCUGGGACUGUCCCACAGAACAGAGAGGAAAGAGGAGAGCAGAGAAUCCGAGGACAGAGGGACGAAGGACAUGGAUGUAAAGGAGUGGAAGAAAGAAUUGAAGAAAGAGGAGCUGAAAAAGUCUGUGUGAUUCUACUUCAACCGUUAGCAGAGAUGGCUACUCCUGUGCUGAUGCAUUGCUUUGAGGGGAGGAAAGGCCCAGGGAGGCAGAGUUCUCUGGCUGCCCUGCACACCAGACAGCUUGACCCCCGUUCUGACCUCCACAACCUCCAUGACCUCCAGGAGUCUGGGGGUACCAGCGGGGGGGUGGUGAGGGGCACACUGCCCCAGGUGCUGAGAGAGUUCCAGGCAAGGCAGUCCAUGGGCAGCCUGCUCUUGGGUCCUGAUGGGGAGGUCCUUCAGCUGUCCCUCUAUGAGAACCACGCAGAUAGGCUCCAGCUGGCGCACCGUGAUGAGGUCACAGAGGAGGAGAAGGGGCAAGAACAGCUGCCCUGGGUCUCUUCCCUGAGGCCCGAACACACACAGAGAGGUACACGCACACAAACACACACACAAACACAAACACAUGUUAACGCAAACAACCAAACAUGCUUUAACAUACACACACACGCACAAAGACACACUCACACACACACACACAUGUUAACGCACACACCCAAACAUACCUUAACAAACACACACACACACACACACACACACACACACACACACACACACACACACACACACACACACACACACACACACACACACACACACACACAGCCUCAUGACAUGAAUCUUCCCAUAAGGGAUGUGGUUCUUAGUGAAGCCAGUGGUUGCCAAGGGCGACCAGCGUGUCAGCCAUUGUGUCUGAUGGGUUGGGUUUCUGCUCUGCUAGGAUAA
Molecule: long non-coding RNA, 1957 nt
Organism: Gadus morhua (Atlantic cod)
Lineage: Eukaryota; Metazoa; Chordata; Actinopteri; Gadiformes; Gadidae
Source: Ensembl